AUGAACGCUGGCGGCGUGCCUAAUCCAUGCAAGUCGAGCGAACGGACGAGAAGCUUGCUUUUCUGAUGUUAGCGGCGGACGGGUGAGUAACACGUGGAUAACCUACCUAUAAGACUGGGAUAACUUCGGGAAACCGGAGCUAAUACCGGAUAAUAUUUUGAACCGCAUGGUUCAAAAGUGAAAGACGGUCUUGCUGUCACUUAUAGAUGGAUCCGCGCUGCAUUAGCUAGUUGGUAAGGUAACGGCUUACCAAGGCAACGAUGCAUAGCCGACCUGAGAGGGUGCUCGGCCACACUGGAACUGAGACACGGUCCAGACUCCUACGGGAGGCAGCAGUAGGGAAUCUUCCGCAAUGGGCGAAAGCCUGACGGAGCAACGCCGCGUGAGUGAUGAAGGUCUUCGGAUCGUAAAACUCUGUUAUUAGGGAAGAACAUAUGUGUAAGUAACUGUGCACAUCUUGACGGUACCUAAUCAGAAAGCCACGGCUAACUACGUG
RNAcentral lists this ribosomal RNA (496 nucleotides) under uncultured bacterium. RNAcentral's name for it is "partial 16S ribosomal RNA". It matches the Rfam family "Bacterial small subunit ribosomal RNA", at positions 29 to 507 of the family's 1533-position model. The record is from RNAcentral.